This 1096-nucleotide unclassified non-coding RNA is filed under the name Hevea brasiliensis (rubber tree). Lineage: Eukaryota; Viridiplantae; Streptophyta; Magnoliopsida; Malpighiales; Euphorbiaceae. The record is from RNAcentral.
GAAACGGCGGACCAAGUCAGGGCAGCUUGUCCAACGUUGCUCCUUGGAUAACUACUGUUGGUGCUGGAACACUAGACCGAGAUUUUCCAGCCUAUGUAACCCUUGGAAAUGGGAAGAAUUACUCAGGCGCAUCACUUUAUAGUGGAAAGCCAUUAUCUGAUUCACUGGUGCCAGUGGUUUAUGCUGGUAAUGCGAGUAGUUCAACGAGUGGUUAUCUCUGUAUGUCAGGCACGUUGAGUCCUGCAAAAGUUGCUGGGAAAAUUGUGAUAUGUGAUCGAGGGGGGAACAGUCGGGUGCAAAAGGGAUUGGAGGUGAAACAUGCUGGUGGCUUAGGGAUGAUUUUAGCAAACACAGAUUUGUAUGGGGAAGAGCUAGUUGCAGACGCACAUCUUUUACCAACAGCAGCCGUAGGACAAAGCAGCGGGGAUGCCAUCAAGAAUUAUGCCUUCUCUGAUCCUAAGCCAGUUGCCACAAUUGCUUCUGGAGUCACACAUCUAGGAGUUGAGCCUUCACCAGUGGUAGCCGCAUUCAGUUCUAGAGGCCCAAAUCUGGUCACCCCAGAGGUAAUGAAACCAGACUUGAUAGCUCCAGGAGUGAACAUACUAGCUGGAUGGACAGGUGCAGUUGGUCCAACUGGGCUAACCGAUGACUCCAGGCGGGUAAGCUUCAAUAUCAUUUCUGGUACAUCGAUGUCAUGUCCACAUGUUAGUGGGUUAGCUGCACUCCUCAAGGCUGCACAUUCGGAUUGGAGCCCAGCAGCCAUUAGGUCUGCCCUCAUGACCACAGCAUAUACAACAUACAAAAAUGGGAAAACCAUACUAGAUGUGUCUACUGGGCAGCCAUCAACACCAUUUGAUUAUGGAGCUGGACAUGUAAAUCCAGUAGCAGCCCUUGAUCCUGGCCUUGUCUAUGAUGCCACAGUUGAGGACUAUCUAAGCUUCCUCUGUGCAUUAAACUAUAGUUCAUCCCAGAUUAAGCUUGCCACAAACAGAGACUUCACCUGCGACCCGAGCAAGAAAUACAGUCUGGGUGAUCUCAAUUAUCCAUCUUUCUCUGUUCCUCUCCAAACUGCUUCAGGGAAAGGAGGUGGUGCUGG